GAUGAACGCUGGCGGCGUGCUUAACACAUGCAAGUCGAACGGAAAGGCCCAAGCUUGCUUGGGUACUCGAGUGGCGAACGGGUGAGUAACACGUGGGUGAUCUGCCCUGCACUUCGGGAUAAGCCUGGGAAACUGGGUCUAAUACCGGAUAGGACGAUGGUUUGGAUGCCAUUGUGGAAAGUUUUUUCGGUGUGGGAUGAGCUCGCGGCGUAUCAGCUUGUUGGUGGGGUAAUGGCCUACCAAGGCGUCGACGGGUAGCCGGCCUGUGAGGGUGUACGGCCACAUUGGGACUGAGAUACGGCCCAGACUCCUACGGGGGGCAGCAGUGGGGAAUAUUGCACAAUGGGGGCGAGCCUGAUGCAGCGACGCCGCGUGGGGGAUGACGGCGUUCGGGUUGUAAACUCCUUUCGCUAGGGACGAAGCGUGUUUGUGACGGUACCUGGAGAAGAAGCACCGGCUAACUACGUG
This 468-nucleotide ribosomal RNA is filed under the name uncultured bacterium. RNAcentral describes it as "partial 16S ribosomal RNA". It matches the Rfam family "Bacterial small subunit ribosomal RNA", at positions 28 to 507 of the family's 1533-position model. The record is from RNAcentral.